RNAcentral lists this ribosomal RNA (448 nucleotides) under Indothais javanica. Its description in RNAcentral is "partial 16S ribosomal RNA". It matches the Rfam family "Bacterial large subunit ribosomal RNA", at positions 1933 to 2597 of the family's 2925-position model. Lineage: Eukaryota; Metazoa; Mollusca; Gastropoda; Neogastropoda; Muricidae. The record is from RNAcentral.
GCGGUACUCUGACCGUGCAAAGGUAGCAUAAUCAUUUGCCUUAUAAUUGAAGGCUAGUAUGAAUGGUUUGACGAGAAUUAAGCUGUCUCUUUCCAAUUAAAUAUAACUUUAUUAGCAGGUGAAGAAGCCUGUAUUUUAUUGAAAGACAAGAAGACCCUAUCGAGCUUUAAGAAAAUUAACAGAUUUACUACAUAUUCAUAUAAGUGUAAAACUGCUAAAAACUUUGGUUGGGGCGACUGAGGAACAAAUAAAGCUUCCUUUAUAACCAUAUACUUUCAAGUAUUGAUCCAAUAAAUUUGAUUAAAGGAAUUAGUUACCGUAGGGAUAACAGCAUAAUCUUCUUUGAGAGCUCUCAUCGAAAAGAGGGUUUGUGACCUCGAUGUUGGACCAGAAUACCCAGAAGAUGCAGCCGUCUUCAAUGGUUGGUCUGUUCGACCAUUAAAAUUCU